CGAUAAACAUCUUCAUCAGAUAUCAUUAUCGUAUAUAUCACGAUGAACAUCAUUACUGUUUUUCUCGGCAUCUGUAUCAUUGGUCUUGCAUCUGCAGGUGAAUGCAGUUACAAAGGUACGACCUAUGGUGAUGGUGAAAGUUGGAGAGACGGCUGUAGAUUCUGUUCAUGUAGUAAUGGUAGAGCGACCUGUAUGAGGAUGGGUUGUACAAAUAGUGACGAAGAAGAAACGUCUAGUCAAGUUGAAGUCGCUACUGCUCGUCCGACAUGUUCAUUUAAUGGUGAUACAUAUGAAGAUGGUGAGAAUUUCAUGAAUGAGUGUAACUGGUGUUCAUGUCACGGUGGUCGUGUUCGAUGUACGAUUAAAGGCUGUGUGGGUAAUGGUAACCGUAACCCCAAUGGUAACCGGAAUGGUAACCGGAAUGAUAACCGGAAUGGUAACCGCAAUCGCAACCGUAAUCGAAAUCGGAAUGGUGGUGACGAUCUAUUGAAUGUACAGAGAACAGGUGGAUGUACGUAUAAAGGACAAGCGUAUAGCCAGUUUGGUUUCUUUAUGGAUGGUUGUAACCAGUGUUUCUGUAGAAAUGGCGAAGUUGGUUGUACCAAAAAUCCAUGCCGUUAGAAUUAAAAGAAGUGUCGAAUCCACUCGGCAAACCUCAGCAGAUUCCAGUACCCUACAUCUAGCCUCGGCUGUAUGACGAAGUCCGCCAAUGAAACUAGAUGUAGGGUGCCGGAAUCUGCCGAAGUUUGCCGAGUGGUGUCGAAUCAAUAAGUAUUUACAGGAAUCCGACUUCUGCGAUAUCAGUACCGUGGACGUAGAUGUUACACCACCAAUUAUUACUACUUCAACCACAAGUGAAUUAAACAUUCUAAAUCAUU
This is a long non-coding RNA of Patella vulgata (common limpet), 878 nucleotides long. RefSeq lists it as uncharacterized. The record is from RefSeq and is a predicted model, not a curated record. The transcript is spliced from 4 exons. Lineage: Eukaryota; Metazoa; Mollusca; Gastropoda; Patellidae.